This 145-nucleotide unclassified non-coding RNA is filed under the name uncultured Helotiales. RNAcentral describes it as "sequence contains ITS2". The record is from RNAcentral. Lineage: Eukaryota; Fungi; Ascomycota; Leotiomycetes; Helotiales.
CAACCCUCAAGCCCCCGGCUUGGUAUUGGGCGUCACCGGCGACGGUGUGCCUCAAAAUCAGUGGCGGUGCCAUCUGGCUCUAAGCGUAGUAACACUCUCGCUCUAGGUGCCCGGCGGUCGCUAGCCAGCAACCCCAUCUUCUCAA